AUUGAACGCUGGCGGAAUGCUUUACACAUGCAAGUCGAACGGCAGCACGGGGCAACCUGGUGGCGAGUGGCGAACGGGUGAGUAAUAUAUCGGAACGUGCCCAAUCGUGGGGGGAUAACGUAGCGAAAGUUACGCUAAUACCGCAUACGAUCUACGGAUGAAAGCGGGGGAUCGCAAGACCUCGCGCGAAUGGAGCGGCCGAUAUCAGAUUAGGUAGUUGGUGGGGUAAAGGCUCACCAAGCCAACGAUCUGUAGCUGGUCUGAGAGGACGACCAGCCACACUGGAACUGAGACACGGUCCAGACUCCUACGGGAGGCAGCAGUGGGGAAUUUUGGACAAUGGGCGCAAGCCUGAUCCAGCCAUUCCGCGUGCAGGAUGAA
Molecule: ribosomal RNA, 381 nt
Filed under: uncultured bacterium
Lineage: Bacteria
Description: bacterial SSU rRNA
Rfam family: Bacterial small subunit ribosomal RNA
Source: RNAcentral